RNAcentral lists this small RNA (379 nucleotides) under Histoplasma ohiense. RNAcentral describes it as "hypothetical lncRNA". Lineage: Eukaryota; Fungi; Ascomycota; Eurotiomycetes; Onygenales; Ajellomycetaceae. The record is from RNAcentral.
GAUGUUUUAUCAUUAUCAUUUCCAAUGAUGAAAUCCUACCCCCUGUUUUAAUUACGGAUAUGAUGGCUCAUAUUCCCACUCCAAAUCUCUAUCCUGCCAGCAGCCUUGACUCUAUCUACAUCCCUUGUCAGCCUGGUUCAUUCUUUUACAGCAAUAUACUGGCCGCAGUAUUAAUAUGCCUCUGAGAGUCAUUUUUUUGGAGCUUAUAGCGCCAUCGAAAGCUUGAUAAUUAUCUACAAUGCAGGUUCAUGAAUAGACAUACUUCUAUUGCCAAAACAUUAUCAUCGAUGAGAGAUUGUAUUCUCCCAAACUUCCUCCCACGAACAGCACUAUUUUGCACUAUCAAUCCAAAGAAGCUCCAGUAGCUUGAAAAGGCCUC